Long non-coding RNA from Pipra filicauda (Wire-tailed manakin), 418 nucleotides. RefSeq lists it as uncharacterized. The record is from RefSeq and is a predicted model, not a curated record. Lineage: Eukaryota; Metazoa; Chordata; Aves; Passeriformes; Pipridae. The transcript has 4 exons.
GACGGGCUGGACUCUGGAUUGCUCCCUCUGGAUGUGUGUGGGAUGUAGCCUGGAAACUCCACAGAGGUGAGCCAAGGGAUUUAAGGGAGGUGAAGAAAGAAGGAAGAAGGGAACUGAGGCAUCAGCCAAGCAGCACCAAGCUCCUGUAUAAGCAGAUGUACCAAGAACUGGUAGUUUUUGCAGUGGGAUGUUCCCUAGAAACUCCAUGGAGGUGAGCGAAGGCAUUUAAAGGGACUGUGCAAGCAAAGUAAAGAAAGACUGAAGAGAACUGAGGCAGAAGCCAAGCCAGCACCAAGUUCUUCUACAACCAGGUGUGGGGAAUGUCCUGAACACAGAACAGGAAUACAGGGAAGGAAAAUGAGCCCUCCUGUAAUGCUGACCCAUCCCUUCAGCUGCAGUGGAGACACCUCCGUGUGCC